Molecule: long non-coding RNA, 769 nt
Filed under: Dasypus novemcinctus (nine-banded armadillo)
Lineage: Eukaryota; Metazoa; Chordata; Mammalia; Cingulata; Dasypodidae
Description: lncRNA (ENSDNOG00000050663.1)
Source: RNAcentral
CCCCUGAAUCUCCGCAGCGCCGUCGCCAGCACCUCCUCCCCGAGCCUGAGCAGGGGCCUCUCUGUGACAGGUCCGCGUCUCACAGUCCAGAGUCUGGAUUCACGUCGUGUCCAAGAGGGACCCCCAGAGGACCGCCCGCGGGCGGUCAGGCUGGGGUUUUGGAAGGGCCGCUCUGCAGCCGUCUGGAGGCAGGGAGACGACGCAGGAGACGGGUACAGGAGUCCAGGGAGGGACGGCAAGGGCCUGCACCGUGGCAGGGAGAGACGCGUGUGCCCUGGGGCCCCGGGGGCGGUGACAGUGAUGACGUAUGAGGAGGGAAGCAAGGAGCCAGAGCAGACGGGAAGGCGGAGGCGAGUACUCACAGCCAGCCAGCACGCAACGACCUUGGCCCUUCCUCACCAGGAGGUUUGCCCAGCAGACGCCCUGGAUUCUUGCAAAGCUUACGCGUACAGAAAGGAGGGGCCUACGGUGGACACGCCCCAGCUGUUACUCCGGUGCAGAGCAGGGUCCUCUCCUGAUACUGGGGAAACAGGCUGUGCUUUCCGAGAGAAAAGCCUGGAGAGCCCUGAGGAGUCGCACGGCACAUGCGGACACGCUGCCCUCGGCGCAGGCACUGCACGUGGUGUGGACUAUAGCCAUGGCUCCCUCACCGCCCCAGCGCCCACACUGCGCUGCACACAGCUACGUCUACCGACGUCGAGUGUUAGUUUUCACAGCAACCCUAGGAAAUACAGCUUCUCCAGAUUCUAGAGGUGGAUGGUCAAGAUGA